Molecule: unclassified non-coding RNA, 256 nt
Filed under: plant metagenome
Description: partial contains small subunit ribosomal RNA, internal transcribed spacer 1, and 5.8S ribosomal RNA
Rfam family: Eukaryotic small subunit ribosomal RNA (bases 1-54)
Source: RNAcentral
GGAAAUAAAAGUCGUAACAAGGUUUCCGUAGGUGAACCUGCGGAAGGAUCAUUAAAGUUAUAGUCCCCCGGCCCUCUGGGCUGGGGUCUUCAAUACCACCCUUUGUUUAUUGCACCUUUGUUGCUUUGGCAGGCCUGCCCUCGGGCUGCUGGCUCCGGCCGGCUCGCGUCUGCCAGAGGACCUAAACUCUGUUUGUAUAUGAAGUCUGAGUACUAUAUAAUAGUUAAAACUUUCAACAACGGAUCUCUUGGUUCUG